This 255-nucleotide ribosomal RNA is filed under the name uncultured bacterium. Its description in RNAcentral is "partial 16S ribosomal RNA". It matches the Rfam family "Bacterial small subunit ribosomal RNA", at positions 524 to 776 of the family's 1533-position model. The record is from RNAcentral.
UACGUAGGGGGCUAGCGUUGUCCGGAAUCAUUGGGCGUAAAGCGCGUGUAGGCGGUUCGGUAAGUCUGCUGGUGAAAGUCGGGGGCUCAACCCUCGAAUGCCGGUGGAUACUGUCGGACUAGAGUGCGGAAGAGGCGAGUGGAAUUCCUGGUGUAGCGGUGAAAUGCGCAGAUAUCAGGAGGAACACCAAUUGCGAAGGCAGCUCGCUGGGACGUUACUGACGCUGGAGACGCGAAAGCGUGGGGAGCAAACAGG